GUUAUAUGGUCAAGUGAAGAAGCGCAUACGGUGGAUGCCUUGGCAGUCAGAGGCGAUGAAAGACGUGGUAGCCUGCGAAAAGCUUCGGGGAGUCGGCAAACAGACUUUGAUCCGGAGAUCUCUGAAUGGGGGAACCCACCUAGGAUAACCUAGGUAUCUUGUACUGAAUCCAUAGGUGCAAGAGGCGAACCAGGGGAACUGAAACAUCUAAGUACCCUGAGGAAAAGAAAUCAACCGAGAUUCCCUUAGUAGUGGCGAGCGAACGGGGAUUAGCCCUUAAGCUUCAUUGAUUUUAGCGGAACGCUCUGGAAAGUGCGGCCAUAGUGGGUGAUAGCCCCGUACGCGAAAGGAUCUUUGAAGUGAAAUCGAGUAGGACGGAGCACGAGAAACUUUGUCUGAACAUGGGGGACCAUCCUCCAAGGCUAAAUACUACUGACUGACCGAUAGUGAACCAGUACCGUGAGGGAAAGGCGAAAAGAACCCCGGAGAGGGGAGUGAAAUAGAACCUGAAACCGUAUGCGUACAAGCAGUGGGAGCCUACUUGUUAGGUGACUGCGUACCUUUUGUAUAAUGGGUCAGCGACUUAUAUUCAGUGGCAAGCUUAACCGUAUAGGGUAGGCGUAGCGAAAGCGAGUCUUAAUAGGGCGUUUAGUCGCUGGGUAUAGACCCGAAACCGGGCGAUCUAUCCAUGAGCAGGUUGAAGGUUAGGUAACACUGACUGGAGGACCGAACCCACUCCCGUUGAAAAGGUAGGGGAUGACUUGUGGAUCGGAGUGAAAGGCUAAUCAAGCUCGGAGAUAGCUGGUUCUCCUCGAAAGCUAUUUAGGUAGCGCCUCAUGUAUCACUCUGGGGGGUAGAGCACUGUUUCGGCUAGGGGUCAUCCCGACUUACCAAACCGAUGCAAACUCCGAAUACCCAGAAGUGCCGAGCAUGGGAGACACACGGCGGGUGCUAACGUCCGUCGUGAAAAGGGAAACAACCCAGACCGCCAGCUAAGGUCCCAAAGUUGUGGUUAAGUGGUAAACGAUGUGGGAAGGCUUAGACAGCUAGGAGGUUGGCUUAGAAGCAGCCACCCUUUAAAGAAAGCGUAAUAGCUCACUAGUCGAGUCGGCCUGCGCGGAAGAUGUAACGGGGCUCAAACCACACACCGAAGCUGCGGGUGUCACGUAAGUGACGCGGUAGAGGAGCGUUCUGUAAGCCUGUGAAGGUGAGUUGAGAAGCUUGCUGGAGGUAUCAGAAGUGCGAAUGCUGACAUGAGUAACGACAAUGGGUGUGAAAAACACCCACGCCGAAAGACCAAGGGUUCCUGCGCAACGUUAAUCGACGCAGGGUUAGUCGGUUCCUAAGGCGAGGCUGAAAAGCGUAGUCGAUGGGAAACAGGUUAAUAUUCCUGUACUUCUGGUUACUGCGAUGGAGGGACGGAGAAGGCUAGGCCAGCUUGGCGUUGGUUGUCCAAGUUUAAGGUGGUAGGCUGAAAUCUUAGGUAAAUCCGGGGUUUCAAGGCCGAGAGCUGAUGACGAGUCGUCUUUUAGAUGACGAAGUGGUUGAUGCCAUGCUUCCAAGAAAAGCUUCUAAGCUUCAGGUAACCAGGAACCGUACCCCAAACCGACACAGGUGGUCGGGUAGAGAAUACCAAGGCGCUUGAGAGAACUCGGGUGAAGGAACUAGGCAAAAUGGCACCGUAACUUCGGGAGAAGGUGCGCCGGCUAGGGUGAAGGAUUUACUCCGUAAGCUCUGGCUGGUCGAAGAUACCAGGCCGCUGCGACUGUUUAUUAAAAACACAGCACUCUGCAAACACGAAAGUGGACGUAUAGGGUGUGACGCCUGCCCGGUGCCGGAAGGUUAAUUGAUGGGGUUAGCGCAAGCGAAGCUCUUGAUCGAAGCCCCGGUAAACGGCGGCCGUAACUAUAACGGUCCUAAGGUAGCGAAAUUCCUUGUCGGGUAAGUUCCGACCUGCACGAAUGGCGUAACGAUGGCGGCGCUGUCUCCACCCGAGACUCAGUGAAAUUGAAAUCGCUGUGAAGAUGCAGUGUAUCCGCGGCUAGACGGAAAGACCCCGUGAACCUUUACUGUAGCUUUGCACUGGACUUUGAGCCUGCUUGUGUAGGAUAGGUGGGAGGCUUUGAAGCGUGGACGCCAGUUCGCGUGGAGCCAUCCUUGAAAUACCACCCUGGCAUGCUUGAGGUUCUAACUCUGGUCCGUAAUCCGGAUCGAGGACAGUGUAUGGUGGGCAGUUUGACUGGGGCGGUCUCCUCCUAAAGAGUAACGGAGGAGUACGAAGGUGCGCUCAGACCGGUCGGAAAUCGGUCGUAGAGUAUAAAGGCAAAAGCGCGCUUGACUGCGAGACAGACACGUCGAGCAGGUACGAAAGUAGGUCUUAGUGAUCCGGUGGUUCUGUAUGGAAGGGCCAUCGCUCAACGGAUAAAAGGUACUCCGGGGAUAACAGGCUGAUACCGCCCAAGAGUUCAUAUCGACGGCGGUGUUUGGCACCUCGAUGUCGGCUCAUCACAUCCUGGGGCUGAAGCCGGUCCCAAGGGUAUGGCUGUUCGCCAUUUAAAGUGGUACGCGAGCUGGGUUUAGAACGUCGUGAGACAGUUCGGUCCCUAUCUGCCGUGGACGUUUGAGAUUUGAGAGGGGCUGCUCCUAGUACGAGAGGACCGGAGUGGACGAACCUCUGGUGUUCCGGUUGUCACGCCAGUGGCAUUGCCGGGUAGCUAUGUUCGGAAAAGAUAACCGCUGAAAGCAUCUAAGCGGGAAACUUGCCUCAAGAUGAGAUCUCACUGGGAACUUGAUUCCCCUGAAGGGCCGUCGAAGACUACGACGUUGAUAGGCUGGGUGUGUAAGCGUUGUGAGGCGUUGAGCUAACCAGUACUAAUUGCCCGUGAGGCUUGACCAUAUAACACCCAAACA
RNAcentral lists this ribosomal RNA (2910 nucleotides) under Pseudomonas aeruginosa. RNAcentral's name for it is "23S ribosomal RNA". It matches the Rfam family "Bacterial large subunit ribosomal RNA". Lineage: Bacteria; Pseudomonadati; Pseudomonadota; Gammaproteobacteria; Pseudomonadales; Pseudomonadaceae. The record is from RNAcentral.